Molecule: long non-coding RNA, 1095 nt
Filed under: Felis catus (domestic cat)
Lineage: Eukaryota; Metazoa; Chordata; Mammalia; Carnivora; Felidae
Description: lncRNA (ENSFCAG00000051451.1)
Source: RNAcentral
AUGACCUUCCCCCAUCCCCCCGCCCCCCAGGGCAGUUUAUUGGUAUUCUGUGUCCAGAGCUCUCUCCACAGAAGCCAUCAGAUUUGGGGACUACACAGAACAGAAAGUGGCUCCAACUUGGGCCUCAGACAUGUCAAUAUCCUUAGGGUGACAGGUGGGGGUGGGGCGCAAGGUCAGAAGUCGCUAGCGGAAGCCGGGGGUGGGGGGAUCUGGGAGGGAAAGGCGGUCCCUGGCCAACCUCCCUCCCACCGUCGCCUGCUAGAACCUUUUUUUUUUCAGGGCGCCUCUUCUCGGUGGCGGAGGGGCCGGCGGGGGGCGAGAGCUCAUCUCCAAGGCGGAGUGCAGCCGGCACCAGGUUCCCUGGGAAGGGGGAGCGAAAUUUGUCGCGUGUCAGCGACCUGGAGGCGACUGUUCGCAGGCAACCGUCCCGCGCCCUCCCCGCCAGGCUACUCUGCUCCGACGCGCGUGUCGCCUGCAAGUCGGGACGGCCGGGCGGGGCGAUCCCGCGGGUCCGGGCAGGUCGCACAGGCGGCUGGCUCCCCGCGGGUGCGCCCUCCCUGCCACUCGGCCGCCCGGGAGGUGCCCUCCGCGCCGGCCUCCCGGCCUUUGUUGCGCGCCGCCCGCCCUCCCUCUGUCGUGUCCGCGCUGUCCUUCCUGGCGUCCGCGGGGGCCGGCGCGGGAGACGGCGCUCUGGCCGCACUGCCCCGCCCCGGGGCCGCCCGGCCUGGCGCGGGCUCGGUUGGAGGCGCAGGACCGCUGGAGCCGGCAGUUUUCCAGAGGCUGGGGGCGGGGUGGGGACGGGUUGCACGCUCCCAGCCCCCAACAGACACACGACGCAGGAGCCCUCGCUGGGCGCCGGAGGCCGGGAAGAGGCUGGCCCUCACUUUGCCCCAGAGGGACGCACGGCUGGGGACCGCGGGGCGGACAACCGGGAGGACUGGCCUGAGCAGGAGGGAGGGAUGGGACGGGAAGCGAGGCGACUCAGGACUGGCACGCGUGGCGGGGGGCGCAGAAUGGGGACCGGUUCGCGCAGUGUUCCGAGUCUCAGGAUGGAGGAACCACAGGCGCAGCUCGGAUUUGGGAAGUGAAGGUUAA